RNAcentral lists this small nuclear RNA (107 nucleotides) under Salvator merianae (Argentine black and white tegu). Lineage: Eukaryota; Metazoa; Chordata; Lepidosauria; Squamata; Teiidae. The record is from RNAcentral.
GUGCUGGCUUCGGCAACACAUAUACUAAAAUUGGAACGAUACAGAGCAGGUUAACACGGCCCCUAUACAAGGAUGACACACAAAUUCGUGAAGUGUUCCAUAUUGUA